AAAUUGAAGAGUUUGAUCAUGGCUCAGAUUGAACGCUGGCGGCAGGCCUAACACAUGCAAGUCGAACGGUAACAGGAAACAGCUUGCUGUUUCGCUGACGAGUGGCGGACGGGUGAGUAAUGUCUGGGAAACUGCCUGAUGGAGGGGGAUAACUACUGGAAACGGUAGCUAAUACCGCAUAAUGUCGCAAGACUAAAGAGGGGGACCUUCGGGCCUCUUGCCAUCGGAUGUGCCCAGAUGGGAUUAGCUAGUAGGUGGGGUAACGGCUCACCUAGGCGACGAUCCCUAGCUGGUCUGAGAGGAUGACCAGCCACACUGGAACUGAGACACGGUCCAGACUCCUACGGGAGGCAGCAGUGGGGAAUAUUGCACAAUGGGCGCAAGCCUGAUGCAGCCAUGCCGCGUGUAUGAAGAAGGCCUUCGGGUUGUAAAGUACUUUCAGCGGGGAGGAAGGGAGUAAAGUUAAUACCUUUACUCAUUGACGUUACCCGCAGAAGAAGCACCGGCUAACUCCGUGCCAGCAGCCGCGGUAAUACGGAGGGUGCAAGCGUUAAUCG
This 557-nucleotide ribosomal RNA is filed under the name Shigella sonnei. Its description in RNAcentral is "bacterial SSU rRNA". It matches the Rfam family "Bacterial small subunit ribosomal RNA", at positions 1 to 547 of the family's 1533-position model. The record is from RNAcentral. Lineage: Bacteria; Pseudomonadati; Pseudomonadota; Gammaproteobacteria; Enterobacterales; Enterobacteriaceae.